This 18-nucleotide ribosomal RNA is filed under the name Pseudomonas aeruginosa. RNAcentral's name for it is "partial 23S ribosomal RNA". Lineage: Bacteria; Pseudomonadati; Pseudomonadota; Gammaproteobacteria; Pseudomonadales; Pseudomonadaceae. The record is from RNAcentral.
UGGAUGCCCUGGCAGUCA